Aedes albopictus (Asian tiger mosquito) is the source of this 74-nucleotide non-coding RNA. The record is from Rfam. NCBI's taxonomy places the organism in Eukaryota, Metazoa, Arthropoda, Insecta, Diptera, Culicidae.
UGUUCUGUGGCUUAGUUGGUUAGAGCGCCGGUCUAGCGAAUACGGAGUCGUGGGUUCGAAUCCCACCAGAACGC